GGGAACCAGACCAUGAAUCCAGAAAUAUUACAUCUCAUCUUCAGCUUCAAGGGAGACAUGACACUGAGAAGAGCUCUGACUACAAUAACGUGAAUCCUGAAUCUUUUUCAUGUGUCACAUGGAGCCAGUCUCAGAGAACCAGUCAGAUCCCUGCCACAGUCCAGACUGUCAGCCAGGAUGAAAAUCAGCAGCACAUAUACUCCUCUCUUCUCCACGGUGAUGCUUGUGUCUAUGAGUCACUCAGAGGUCCUGAAAACACUGGAGAUGGUACAGUAUGAACUUUGAUCCAUUCACAGCUCUCCAACAUCAUAUGAUUGAAAUUCAAGCCAGUUAAAAUGUUCUGA
Long non-coding RNA from Mugil cephalus (flathead mullet), 344 nucleotides. RefSeq lists it as uncharacterized. NCBI's taxonomy places the organism in Eukaryota, Metazoa, Chordata, Actinopteri, Mugiliformes, Mugilidae. The transcript has 3 exons. The record is from RefSeq and is a predicted model, not a curated record.